Molecule: ribosomal RNA, 253 nt
Filed under: uncultured bacterium
Lineage: Bacteria
Description: partial 16S ribosomal RNA
Rfam family: Bacterial small subunit ribosomal RNA
Source: RNAcentral
UACAGAGGGGGCAAGCGUUGUUCGGAAUUACUGGGCGUAAAGGGCGCGUAGGCGGCCUGUUAAGUCGAACGUGAAAUCCCCGGGCUCAACCCGGGAACUGCGUCCGAUACUGGCAGGCUUGAAUCCGGGAGAGGGAUGCGGAAUUCCAGGUGUAGCGGUGAAAUGCGUAGAUCUCGAGAGGAAUACCGGUUGCGAAGGCGGCCUUUUGGCCAGUAACUGACGCUUAAGCGCGAAAGCGUGGGGAGCAAACAGG